UACGUAGGGUGCGAGCGUUGUCCGGAAUUAUUGGGCGUAAAGGGCUCGUAGGCGGUUUGUCGCGUCGGGAGUGAAAACCAGGUGCUUAACACCUGGCUUGCUUUCGAUACGGGCAGACUAGAGGCAUGCAGGGGAGAACGGAAUUCCUGGUGUAGCGGUGAAAUGCGCAGAUAUCAGGAGGAACACCGGUGGCGAAGGCGGGUCUCUGGGCAAUAACUGACGCUGAGGUGCGAAAGCGUGGGGAGCAAACAGG
RNAcentral lists this ribosomal RNA (253 nucleotides) under uncultured bacterium. Its description in RNAcentral is "partial 16S ribosomal RNA". It matches the Rfam family "Bacterial small subunit ribosomal RNA", at positions 524 to 776 of the family's 1533-position model. The record is from RNAcentral.